GUUUGUAUCCUUAUGGUUGAAAUGCACGUAUUGUAAGUUGCUUUGGAUAAAAGCGUCAGCUAAAUGACAUGUAACGUAAUAUAAACCACUUGAUCUGCGGUGCAGAAGAGUUGGGGUUUAUAUUUAAUCUUUGCUUUCUCUACCAGGUCCGAUUUCGUUUCCCUGUUUUUUGUCCCAUCCAACUUCUUUUUGACCAUUUUUCCAAAUGUCCACAUGGCAGCUGUUAGCUUUGCGAGCACAAUGUUAUUACGCCGAGGAAUAACAUCCCUCUAGGGGACAAGUGAAGGCAUCACUAAAGGCAUUCAGGUUCCUUCUGAAGGGAACACGAAAGUCGGUGGACACCAAUCCAACAGUUGUUGAUCUCCGCGUGGACCAAAGUCGUGGAGCGACCAACAAAACGACGUGGCCGUUCUACAAACCUUCACCGUUGUUCCUUGCUGUCGGUUGCCACUAAAGCAUUGAACGCAUUAUGAUCUGUUAGACGCAGAGAUGUAGCUUAAUGGUGUUCGGUUCUACUCAGUCCACGAAUGGCUGCAAACGGGCGAACGAUAGUGUCGCAGCGGUCGAAGACUAGAAGAUCGCCGUGCGAGCACAUUUACCUUUUUACUCUUUACUCACAUGCGCAAACGCACGAAAGAAAUGGAACCACUGGCAGCUGAACGAGUGCGAAUGGCUGAAUGGAUGAUGCGCUUUGGGGAAAGACCAAAGCCGCCAUCGCCACAGGAUGAGCAGAGGUGGCGGCGGUGAGCUGAACAAUUGGUCUGGCUCGCGUGCACGCACACCGGAUCAAACGCAUCAAAUGUUCUGCUUUGGUCAUGGUGGCAGCUGACGGUGGUCUAGGUUCUUGUCAGUGAGUGUGUGCGGUUUGUAACAGCUGCAGGAGGAAUGGCUGGCAUCCACUCCGAGCAUUUCCGAGGGGCCAAACACUUUCCCCGCCGCGGACCACACAAACCCCGCGGGGUUAUUUCAACCGCACCCCGCAUUCGUGUUUCACGCGAGUCCUCUUCCUCCCGCUGGCCACAGAUUCUGGCUCACGUGGUCCUCACUCGGCCUGGAGCUGUGACGGGUUUGGACCACAUCAGGGUGUAAGACACUUUUAUGGUCCCCGUCUGACAUGUGGUGUCCUAAGCAGCUUAGUGGGUAAAAUGGAUAGAUUGUAGGUAUAGAUUUCUGAUAUUUUAGACCUGAUAAUAAUACUGAUAUUGGGAAGUGGGGGGAAAAAACAACAAACAAUGUUGGUGCUAUUACAUCUGCUGCAGGAGGAGCCUGGUCCGUCUGACUAGGAGCACUGGAGGUGUGAGUGGUGACACUGGAAUGUUUGACGUGUUGCCUGUCAGGAAAAGACGAGUCUCUCACUGUAGGACCUUUAUCUGGACCCUGUUGGGACCUGGAAGCCCUCUGAGUGGAUUGGACCGGGUGUUCACAUGUGAUGAUCAUAUCGUCUGCUCAUCUUCCAGCUAACAAAGAUCUCUACUCUAAUUCCUUCUCCUGUACCCACUUUCUUAUUUGUAUGUUAAGUUGUUUAAAGCGUGUGAAGUUUAAAGUUUCCUCAGUAGAUCGACAGCUUUCCCAGAUGCUGAAAUGAU
Molecule: non-coding RNA, 1586 nt
Organism: Gasterosteus aculeatus aculeatus (three-spined stickleback)
Lineage: Eukaryota; Metazoa; Chordata; Actinopteri; Perciformes; Gasterosteidae
Source: RefSeq, a predicted model, not a curated record